CCUAGCUCUAAUCUCGUCGAUCUAGUUCGCGAAUUGAGUGCGGUUUUUGGUCGUGAUCCUCCUCUCUAUUCCCAACGCCGCCCAAACCCUAAUCCUAGUCCUAGCCCUAGCCCCACCCCCAAUUUUGCUGCGAAUCCGUCCAGUAUAUCGCAUUCCUCGAGUUUCGGGUCAUUGGGUCCCUCUGGAGGACAUACUGGAUAUCCUCGUCCGAUGAAUAGGCCGU
This 223-nucleotide unclassified non-coding RNA is filed under the name Hevea brasiliensis (rubber tree). The record is from RNAcentral. Lineage: Eukaryota; Viridiplantae; Streptophyta; Magnoliopsida; Malpighiales; Euphorbiaceae.